RNAcentral lists this unclassified non-coding RNA (520 nucleotides) under uncultured Entrophospora. RNAcentral describes it as "SSU rRNA". It matches the Rfam family "Eukaryotic small subunit ribosomal RNA", at positions 569 to 1087 of the family's 1831-position model. Lineage: Eukaryota; Fungi; Glomeromycota; Glomeromycetes; Entrophosporales; Entrophosporaceae. The record is from RNAcentral.
AGCAGCCGCGGUAAUUCCAGCUCCAAUAGCGUAUAUUAAAGUUGUUGCAGUUAAAAGCUCGUAGUUGAAUUUCGGGAUUGACACAUCGGUCGUGCCUUAAGGGGUAUGGACUGGUGUAGUCAAUUUCUCACCUUCUGGAGAACCGCGAUGCCCUUAAUUGGGUGCCGCGGGGAACCAGGACCUUUACUUUGAAAAAUUAGAGUGUUUAAAGCAGGCAUUUUGCUUGAAUACAUUAGCAUGGAAUAAUAAAAUAGGACGGCAUGAUUCUAUUUUGUUGGUUCCUAGGAUCACCGUAAUGAUUAAUAGGGAUAGUUGGGGGCAUUAGUAUUCAAUUGUCAGAGGUGAAAUUCUUGGAUUUAUUGAAGACUAACUACUGCGAAAGCAUUUGCCAAGGAUGUUCUCAUUAAUCAAGAACGAAAGUUAGGGAUCGAAGACGAUCAGAUACCGUCGUAGUCUUAACCAUAAACUAUGCCGACUAGGAAUCAGACGAUGUUAAUUUUUAAUGUACUCGUUUGGCACC